GUAACAUCCUUUGUUUUAGAAGCUUUUCUAUGUUCCUCAUCGCUACGUAACUUCCUUUGUUUUAGAAGCUCUUCUAUGUUCCUCAUCACUAGAGAAAACCCGAAGUCAGAAGCACGCCGGCAUCCACUUGCGGCCGCCCUGCCUGAAUAUGACAUGGAUGGGUGUGACCAACGUAGAGUCUUCAGGAGGCUCGGAAAAUGUCAAUGAUGACUGGCUAAAUUGGAACAAAUAUCGAAAGACUCCAAAAUGUUUACAUCCCAGCUGGAGGCAAGUGUUUCAUUCCCAGUCAGGGACGGGACAAAGUGAGACUGCAGCAGCGGAACAGGCGCAGCCGGGGUUCCAGCCCUCAGCAUCACCACGGUGCAUUUGUCCCUGAGGACACCAGGAGUUGUGACAAAUCCUGUUCCUUUGCUUUUAGAGGUUUUGUUGUAGAAGCCAUCCCCAUUUUGACCACUCCAAUAAUACUGUAAGCAGAGUUCAAAAGCUGAAGCGGGUACACUGUGCCUCCAGGUUAUGUUUGUGGAUGAUACCCUAUCAGGGUCUGAAUGUCGUCUGACAGUUGCAUCAUUUCCCUGGAAGAACACGUGUAGACAGGCCAGCCAGUGGCCCUCCCUGUACAGCAGUGGCUGUGGCAGUCAGUGUUGAGUGUGGAACUAGGACUGUGUGAUCACCUCCCGGUACUUCCCUUUCCUUAUCUUUUUUUUUU
RNAcentral lists this long non-coding RNA (706 nucleotides) under Homo sapiens (human). RNAcentral's name for it is "HSALNT0394990". Lineage: Eukaryota; Metazoa; Chordata; Mammalia; Primates; Hominidae. The record is from RNAcentral.